Molecule: ribosomal RNA, 335 nt
Filed under: Malassezia globosa
Lineage: Eukaryota; Fungi; Basidiomycota; Malasseziomycetes; Malasseziales; Malasseziaceae
Description: eukaryotic LSU rRNA
Rfam family: Eukaryotic large subunit ribosomal RNA
Source: RNAcentral
AGCUCAAAAGGGGUGGUGGACUCCAUCUAAAGCUAAAUAUCGGGGAGAGACCGAUAGCGAACAAGUACCGUGAGGGAAAGAUGAAAAGCACUUUGGAAAGAGAGUUAAAAGUACGUGAAAUUGUCGAAAGGGAAGCACUUGAAGUCAGCCAUGCUGCUUGAGACUCAGCCUGGCCUUUGGGCUUGGUGUAUUUCUCGGUGGCAAGCCAGCAUUGGUUUGGGUCGUCGGAGAAGCGCAUAGGGAAUGUAGCGUUUCCGGACGUGUUAUAGCCUUAUUCUUGUUUUUACGACCUGGAUCAAGGAACGCAGUAAAACCUCUGGGCGGGUCUUCGGACA